Molecule: transfer RNA, 100 nt
Filed under: Streptomyces olivaceoviridis
Lineage: Bacteria; Bacillati; Actinomycetota; Actinomycetes; Kitasatosporales; Streptomycetaceae
Description: tRNA-Arg
Source: RNAcentral
GCUGCAUGUCGAUGACGGCGAGAUGGCCGGGGCUCCUGCGGCGGGUCCGGGCGUCGGGGUGUCCGGCGGUCAUGGGUUCAGCACCCCGUCGUCGAGCGCC